RNAcentral lists this RNase P RNA (387 nucleotides) under Holosporales bacterium. Its description in RNAcentral is "RNase P RNA component class A". It matches the Rfam family "Bacterial RNase P class A". From Rfam's summary of the family: Ribonuclease P (RNase P) is a ubiquitous endoribonuclease, found in archaea, bacteria and eukarya as well as chloroplasts and mitochondria. Its best characterised activity is the generation of mature 5'-ends of tRNAs by cleaving the 5'-leader elements of precursor-tRNAs. Lineage: Bacteria; Pseudomonadati; Pseudomonadota; Alphaproteobacteria; Holosporales. The record is from RNAcentral.
AAGGGAUAUUGUGUAGUUGCUGUGAUUGUAUCAUAGAGGAAAGUCCGGGCUCCAUGCAAACAGGGUGCCGGAUAACGUCCGGCGAGGUUAAGGCCUUAGGGAAAGUGCAACAGAAAGUAUACCGCUAGGAUUUUGUAUUAUUUAGAUCCUAGUAAGGGUGAAAUGGGGCGGUAAGAGCGCACCGCAAUUGUGGUAACACGAUUGGCAUUGUAAACCCCACUCGGAGCAAGGCCGAAUAGAGAUCCGCGUCCGAAAGGAACGGCGUGUUUGUCGUCGAGGAUCCGGGUAAGCCGCUCGAGCUUGCUGGCAACAGCAAGCCUAGAUGAAUAACUACAGAGAAACGAAUGCGUUUUCAGACAGAACCCGGCUUAUAGAUAUCCCUAGCAA